GGGGAUAUAGCUCAGUUGGUAGAGUGCUUGCCUUGCAUGCACAAGGCCCUGGGUUCAACCCCCAGCACCUCA
This 72-nucleotide transfer RNA is filed under the name Marmota monax (woodchuck). It matches the Rfam family "tRNA". From Rfam's summary of the family: Transfer RNA (tRNA) molecules are approximately 80 nucleotides in length. Their secondary structure includes four short double-helical elements and three loops (D, anti-codon, and T loops). Lineage: Eukaryota; Metazoa; Chordata; Mammalia; Rodentia; Sciuridae. The record is from Rfam by way of RNAcentral.